UGACUAGAAUAUACAAAUACCAGUUUCGGCUGACAAUCAGUACUUCGAAGAAAUCAUGGACACACGAUUGGUUCUGCUGGCCCUGGCCAUCUGUGGGCUCGCUGUGGGAGCCAAGCUACCUGAUAAGAUAUACCACAUAUUUCAGAGUGGACAGCGAGGAAAAUGGUCUUGGCUUGCCGUCUGCCAUUGUUGGAGGAACAGAUGCCGCAAAGGAUGCGUGGCCAUGGCAGGUGAAUCUGCGGUACAGGGGAAACUUUACGUGUGGCGGUUCACUUCUUAAUGGCGAUACCGUACUGACAGCGGCUCACUGUGUCCACAAAAGAAAGAAAAAGCAGUUCUGAGUAAUAGUAGGGGAUUACAACCGAAAAAGGAACGAAAAGAAGAAUAGAGGUGAAAAAAAGAUGAAGAAAGAUAGUCUUUUCAAAAUG
Pecten maximus is the source of this 428-nucleotide long non-coding RNA. RefSeq lists it as uncharacterized. The transcript has 3 exons. Lineage: Eukaryota; Metazoa; Mollusca; Bivalvia; Pectinida; Pectinidae. The record is from RefSeq and is a predicted model, not a curated record.